AUGCUAUUCCCCACCCGUCCCUGUAAAUCCCAAGCUCCUGCCGCCGUAGCUGCUAUCUGCAGCCUCCGCCCCUCCUCCUCAUCGCCGGCGCUUAUUCCUUCCCCGUAUCACGACGACAACCCAUUCGCCUCACUACUCACUUCCGAUCCCCCUCCGCCGGAUCCGCUCCGCCAGGUUCUCGCCACGGGAGACGUCCACGGCGCGCUCCGCGGCCUCCCUGGCCUCGCUCGCCAGCUGUUCCGGUGGGCGGAGGGCACCCCUCACGGUUUCCCCCGCUCCGCCUCCGCAUUCGCCGCCGUCCUUGUCCCGCUCGCUGAGGCCAGGCGCAACCGCUCCGCUUAUCCCGUCUCCCUCCGCGCUAUCCAGGCUGGCCUUCUCCUUCCCCUCAUCUCUCUCCUCCUCACGUAUCCCCUGUCCCCCUCCUCCCACCACCUCCUCAACUUCCUCUUACGCAUGUCCACCAAGUUUGUGCCCGAAUGCCAAGCUCAGGACCCUGCGCCCACCAGCUGUUCGACACAAUGCCUUUCCGCCUUCCAAGAGAUGGCGCGUCAAGGUGUCGCCCCUUACGUCAAGGUGUGCAACUGCGUGCUCUCUGUGCUGUGCGACGCGGCCAGGUGGGACGACAUGCGUGCUGUGUAUUCAGAUAUGCUUCAGCUUGGGGUUGAGCCAUCCAUUGUCACAUACAAUACAUUGCUGGAUUCUUUUUGUAAGGCAGGGAGGAUCGAUCAGGCUGUCAUGCUGCUCAAGGAUAUGGAGGCCCAAGUUGCUGGCUGCUUGCCGAAUGAUGUCACCUAUAAUGUGGUGAUCAGUGGGCUGGCCAGGAAUGGUGAGCUGGACAAGGCGGCUCAACUGGUUGACAGAAUGCGGUUGUCCAAACAAGCGUCAGCCUUCACAUAUAAUCCACUUAUCAGUGGGUUGUUAGCAAGGGGUUUUGUUGAAAAGGCUGAUGCUUUGCAGCAGGAGAUGCAGAAUGAUGGCAUUGUGCCAACGGUGGUGACAUACAAUACAUUGAUUCAUGGGUUAUUUAAAAGAGGGAACGUGGAGGCGGCAGAGUUGAAAUUUCUGGAAAUGAGGGCAAUGGGGUUGCAGCCAGAUUUGAUUACUUACAAUUCCUUGAUAAAUGGACAUUGUAAGGCAUGUAAUUUGAAGCAGGCACUUUGGUUGCUUGGUGAUUUGAGACGUGCAGGGCUAGCACCGACAGUUAUGACAUAUAACAUCCUUAUAGAUGGCUAUUGUAGAUUAGGUAAUUUAGGGGGGGCUAUGAGAUUCAAGGAGGAGAUGAGAGCAGAGUGCUGCCUGCCCGAUGUUUGUACAUAUACUAUUCUUAUGAAUGGGUCAUGUAAGGUCAAGAACAUUGCUAUGGUAAGGGUGUUCUUUGAUGAAAUGCUGAGUAAGGGUUUAAAGCCAGACUGCUUUGCUUACAACACAAGGAUUUCAGCAGAGCUGACUCUAGGUGCUAUUUCCGAUGCUUUUCAGUUGAGGGAGGAGAUGAUGCCGAGUGGAAUUUCUUCCGAUACAGUUACAUAUAAUAUUCUUAUUGAUGGACUGUGCAAGGCUGGUAGCCUGAAAGAUGCCUAUGUGUUGUGGAUGAAGAUGGUCAGUGAUGGGUUACAACUUGACUGUGUCACAUACACUUGCUUGAUUCAUGCACAUUGUAAGUGGGGGCUUCUAAGGAAAGCAAAUAAUAUUUUUCGUGGCAUGGUUGCAAGUGGUUUGUCACCCUCGGCUGUGACCUAUACCAUUUUUAUUCACACAUACUGUAGGGUGGGAGAUCUUGAUUCAGCAUAUGGCUGGUUCCGGAAGAUGCUGGAAGAAGGAGUGGAACCUAAUGAAGUAACAUAUAAUGUGCUCAUGAAUGCACUAUGCCGGAUAGGGAGAACUGAAUUGGCUUAUCAAUAUUUUCAUGAGAUGCUGGAGAGAGGAUUGGUGCCAAACAAAUACACAUACACUUUGUUGAUAGACGGGAACUGUAAAGAAGGUAACUGGGUGGAGGCUGUAAGGCUGUACUGUGAAAUGCAUCAGAAAGGUAUUCAUCCAGACCAUUGUACACAUAAUGCCUUGUUUAAGGGAUUUGGUGAAGAUCACAUGCACGACACAAUUCAGUACUUGGAGAAUGUUGUUUUGGGUGCA
This 2130-nucleotide ribosomal RNA is filed under the name Triticum aestivum (bread wheat). RNAcentral describes it as "partial small subunit ribosomal RNA". Lineage: Eukaryota; Viridiplantae; Streptophyta; Magnoliopsida; Poales; Poaceae. The record is from RNAcentral.